RNAcentral lists this transfer RNA (69 nucleotides) under Ictidomys tridecemlineatus (thirteen-lined ground squirrel). Its description in RNAcentral is "Spermophilus tridecemlineatus (thirteen-lined ground squirrel) tRNA". It matches the Rfam family "tRNA". Rfam says of the family: Transfer RNA (tRNA) molecules are approximately 80 nucleotides in length. Lineage: Eukaryota; Metazoa; Chordata; Mammalia; Rodentia; Sciuridae. The record is from Rfam by way of RNAcentral.
GGGAUUGUGGCUCAGUGGCAGAGUGCUUGCCUCGCAUGUAUGAAGUACUGGGUUCAAUCCUCAGCACCA